AACUGAAGAGUUUGAUCAUGGCUCAGAUUGAACGCUGGCGGCAGGCUUAACACAUGCAAGUCGAGCGGGGGAAGGUAGCUUGCUACCGGACCUAGCGGCGGACGGGU
Molecule: ribosomal RNA, 107 nt
Filed under: Acinetobacter baumannii ABNIH11
Lineage: Bacteria; Pseudomonadati; Pseudomonadota; Gammaproteobacteria; Moraxellales; Moraxellaceae
Description: partial 16S ribosomal RNA
Rfam family: Bacterial small subunit ribosomal RNA
Source: RNAcentral